Molecule: ribosomal RNA, 329 nt
Filed under: uncultured bacterium
Lineage: Bacteria
Description: bacterial SSU rRNA
Rfam family: Bacterial small subunit ribosomal RNA
Source: RNAcentral
CGCGUAGGUGGUUGCGUCAGUCGGAUGUGAAAUCCCCAGGCUUAACCUGGGAACUGCAUCCGAUACUGCGUGACUCGAGUGCAGCAGAGGGAAACGGAAUUCCUGGUGUAGAGGUGAAAUUCGUAGAUAUCAGGAGGAACACCGGUGGCGAAGGCGGUUUCCUGGGCUGACACUGACACUGAGGCGCGAAAGCGUGGGUAGCAAACAGGAUUAGAUACCCUGGUAGUCCACGCUGUAAACGGUGAGUGCUGGGUGUGGGAGUGUAAUGCCUUCUGUGCCGAAGCUAACGCGUUAAGCACUCCGCCUGGGGAUACGGCCGCAAGGUUGAA